GACGAACGCUGGCGGCGUGCUUAACACAUGCAAGUCGAACGAAGAGCGAUGGAAGCUUGCUUCUAUCAAUCUUAGUGGCGAACGGGUGAGUAACGCGUAAUCAACCUGCCCUUCAGAGGGGGACAACAGUUGGAAACGACUGCUAAUACCGCAUACGAUCUAAUCUCGGCAUCGAGGAUAGAUGAAAGGUGGCCUCUACAUGUAAGCUAUCACUGAAGGAGGGGAUUGCGUCUGAUUAGCUAGUUGGAGGGGUAACGGCCCACCAAGGCGAUGAUCAGUAGCCGGUCUGAGAGGCUGAACGGCCACAUUGGGACUGAGACACGGCCCAGACUCCUACGGGAGGCAGCAGUGGGGAAUCUUCCGCAAUGGACGAAAGUCUGACGGAGCAACGCCGCGUGAGUGAUGACGGCCUUCGGGUUGUAAAGCUCUGUUAAUCGGGACGAAAGGCCUUCUUGCGAAUAGUGAGAAGGAUUGACGGUACCGGAAGAGAAAGCCACGGCUAACUACGUG
Molecule: ribosomal RNA, 510 nt
Filed under: uncultured bacterium
Lineage: Bacteria
Description: partial 16S ribosomal RNA
Rfam family: Bacterial small subunit ribosomal RNA
Source: RNAcentral